CGAAUGCUGACAUAAGUAACGAUAAAGCGGGUGAAAAGCCCGCUCGCCGGAAGACCAAGGGUUCCUGUCCAACGUUAAUCGGGGCAGGGUGAGUCGACCCCUAAGGCGAGGCCGAAAGGCGUAGUCGAUGGGAAACAGGUUAAUAUUCCUGUACUUGGUGUUACUGCGAAGGGGGGACGGAGAAGGCUAUGUUGGCCGGGCGACGGUUGUCCCGGUUUAAGCGUGUAGGCUGGUUUUCCAGGCAAAUCCGGAAAAUCAAGGCUGAGGCGUGAUGACGAGGCACUACGGUGCUGAAGCAACAAAUGCCCUGCUUCCAGGAAAAGCCUCUAAGCAUCAGGUAACAUCAAAUCGUACCCCAAACCGACACAGGUGGUCAGGUAGAGAAUACCAAGGCGCUUGAGAGAACUCGGGUGAAGGAACUAGGCAAAAUGGUGCCGUAACUUCGGGAGAAGGCACGCUGAUAUGUAGGUGAAGCGACUUGCUC
This 484-nucleotide ribosomal RNA is filed under the name Escherichia coli. RNAcentral's name for it is "bacterial LSU rRNA". It matches the Rfam family "Bacterial large subunit ribosomal RNA", at positions 1291 to 1774 of the family's 2925-position model. The record is from RNAcentral. Lineage: Bacteria; Pseudomonadati; Pseudomonadota; Gammaproteobacteria; Enterobacterales; Enterobacteriaceae.